UUCACUUGUUUGUAUUUUCUUUCUGAUUCUGGAGAAUUGUAUUUGAGUUGUAUCAGACCUGAUGUAUGGCUUUUGCAUUUGUUGUGCACUUUUGGUAUACAAUGGUUAUUUUCAUUCAGUGAUUGGCCUUCAAGCUUUAUUUGCUUUCAUGUAUUCACUCACACAACACACACAUGGUUGGGUGGUAUCUUUGCUAAAUCAUAUAUCUCUGAUCUGUAUGUCAAAAUCAAUCGAUGAAUGUCAG
This 244-nucleotide long non-coding RNA is filed under the name Lathyrus oleraceus (garden pea). Its description in RNAcentral is "Pisum sativum (pea) long non-coding RNA (PSAT_LNC036861)". Lineage: Eukaryota; Viridiplantae; Streptophyta; Magnoliopsida; Fabales; Fabaceae. The record is from RNAcentral.